AUUCGAUGCACGCGAAAAACCUUACCCACCUUUGACMUGUACGGAAUUUGCCAGAGAUGGCUUAGUGCUCGAAAGAGAACCGUAACACAGGUGCUGCAUGGCUGUCGUCAGCUCGUGUCGUGAGAUGUUGGGUUAAGUCCCGCAACGAGCGCAACCCUUGUCAUUAGUUGCUACAUUUAGUUGGGCACUCUAAUGAGACUGCCGGUGACAAACCGGAGGAAGGUGGGGAUGACGUCAAGUCCUCAUGGCCCUUAUAGGUGGGGCUACACACGUCAUACAAUGGCUGGUACAAAGGGUUGCCAACCCGCGAGGGGGAGCUAAUCCCAUAAAACCAGUCGUAGUCCGGAUCGCAGUCUGCAACUCGACUGCGUGAAGUCGGGAAUCGCCUAGUAAUCGUGGAUCAAAAUGUCACGGUGAAAUACGUUUCCCGGGUCUUUGUACACACCGCCCGUUCACACCAUGGGAAGCGGGUUUCUGCCCAAAAAGUAAGUUAAGCCCUAACCGCCAAGGAGGGGCCGAUUUACCACCGGCCAGGGUUUCGUGAACUUGGGGGGUUGAAAGUUCGUUAAACCAAA
Molecule: ribosomal RNA, 575 nt
Filed under: Variovorax sp. FL31-3
Lineage: Bacteria; Pseudomonadati; Pseudomonadota; Betaproteobacteria; Burkholderiales; Comamonadaceae
Description: bacterial SSU rRNA
Rfam family: Bacterial small subunit ribosomal RNA
Source: RNAcentral